Small nuclear RNA from Neofelis nebulosa (Clouded leopard), 107 nucleotides. NCBI's taxonomy places the organism in Eukaryota, Metazoa, Chordata, Mammalia, Carnivora, Felidae. The record is from RefSeq and is a predicted model, not a curated record.
GUGCUCGCUUCGGCUGCCCAUAUACUACAAUUGGAAUGAUAUAGAGAAGAUUAGCACGGCCCCUGUGCAAGGAUGACACGCAAAUUCGUGAAGUGUUCCGUAUUAAA